This 560-nucleotide ribosomal RNA is filed under the name Roseicyclus sp. RNAcentral's name for it is "bacterial SSU rRNA". It matches the Rfam family "Bacterial small subunit ribosomal RNA", at positions 36 to 642 of the family's 1533-position model. Lineage: Bacteria; Pseudomonadati; Pseudomonadota; Alphaproteobacteria; Rhodobacterales; Roseobacteraceae. The record is from RNAcentral.
CCCAGUGCGGCAGUCUACCAUGCAAGUCGAGCGAGAUCUUCGGAUCUAGCGGCGGACGGGUGAGUAACGCGUGGGAACGUGCCCUUCUCUACGGAAUAGUCCCGGGAAACUGGGUUUAAUACCGUAUACGCCCUUCGGGGGAAAGAUUUAUCGGAGAAGGAUCGGCCCGCGUUGGAUUAGGUAGUUGGUGGGGUAAUGGCCUACCAAGCCGACGAUCCAUAGCUGGUUUGAGAGGAUGAUCAGCCACACUGGGACUGAGACACGGCCCAGACUCCUACGGGAGGCAGCAGUGGGGAAUCUUAGACAAUGGGCGCAAGCCUGAUCUAGCCAUGCCGCGUGAGUGACGAAGGCCCUAGGGUCGUAAAGCUCUUUCACCAGGGAUGAUAAUGACAGUACCUGGAGAAGAAACCCCGGCUAACUCCGUGCCAGCAGCCGCGGUAAUACGGAGGGGGUUAGCGUUGUUCGGAAUUACUGGGCGUAAAGCGCGCGUAGGCGGGCUGUUAAGUCGGGGGUGAAAUCCCGGGGCUCAACCCCGGAACUGCCCUCGAUACUGGCAGCCU